This is a long non-coding RNA of Mesocricetus auratus (golden hamster), 427 nucleotides long. RefSeq lists it as uncharacterized. The transcript has 4 exons. Lineage: Eukaryota; Metazoa; Chordata; Mammalia; Rodentia; Cricetidae. The record is from RefSeq and is a predicted model, not a curated record.
UCUGUGCAUGGAGAUAUCUGGAGAAGGUUUCUUUAGCACUCUGUCUAUAUGAUAUAUCUUUUCUGCCCCAUAGAGUAGCAUUAUCAAGAGAAGUGUAUAAAGGAAGCGAUCUCCUGAGACCACAGAGUUUAACUCAUAUUUAACUUCUAGGAGGUUACUCUAGUUGGUGUCAAAUUGACAAAAUCUAACCAGCACACUUUUCCACCCUCCAUCCAUCCCCCCAGAAUGUCUUCUCCUCCUGGACAGAUCUUAAACUCUUGGGCUAAAGUAAUACUCCUGCCUCAUGUCUCCAACACAGUGAGAGCAUGCAUCAGACCAUGGAACCCUGCCGUCAACGUAUCAUUCUGAAUGAACAAGGAGCCAAGGAAUCCUGCACAGCAACUGUGAGACAAGAUUGAAUCUUUUCUGCCAUCAGGGUUUCUUUCAG